This is a long non-coding RNA of Mangifera indica (mango), 423 nucleotides long. RefSeq lists it as uncharacterized. The transcript has 2 exons. Lineage: Eukaryota; Viridiplantae; Streptophyta; Magnoliopsida; Sapindales; Anacardiaceae. The record is from RefSeq and is a predicted model, not a curated record.
UUAGGCGUUAGGGUUCUGUUAAAUCUAACCAGCCAUGGGUGGGUGUUUGGUGUUUCCAUAGUUAAAGGGGGGACAUUUGAGAAUACGCUAAACCUUGGGUGGGAAAUAGUCAUUUGGCCUUAGUAAUAUACCAUCUUGUUUCAGGCAGGUUGGGCCUUCUACAUUUUUCAGUUCAAAGCAAUUUGAAGUGUUUGAUGUCGAAAUGCUCAGCGUUCAGGAUUGUCAAAGGACCAUCGGAUUUUACUCUGAUGUUGUGUGCAGUUAACAGUUUAUCAGUCAGUUUGUGAAACUGGCCAAAAACCAUAAUCUGGUUCUGAUUCUCAAGCAAUGCAAUGUGUUCUUUCAAGUCGAGCUCAAUUUCAAACAAUGGAAUGAUUAUAAGUUCCAACAAAUCUUAGAAGAAUAUCGAAUAUUUGGUCAAAA